RNAcentral lists this ribosomal RNA (315 nucleotides) under uncultured eukaryote. RNAcentral's name for it is "partial 18S ribosomal RNA". It matches the Rfam family "Eukaryotic small subunit ribosomal RNA", at positions 1470 to 1796 of the family's 1831-position model. The record is from RNAcentral.
CCCUUAGACGUUCUGGGCCGCACGCGCGCUACACUGACCAGUGCAACAAGCAUCCGUCCUUGGCCGACAGGCCCGGGCAAUCUUUGAACGCUGGUCGUGAUGGGGAUAGACUUCUGCAAUUUUUGGUCUUCAACGAGGAAUUCCUAGUAAACGCAAGUCAUCAACUUGCAUUGAUUACGUCCCUGCCCUUUGUACACACCGCCCGUCGCACCUACCGAUUGAAUGGUCCGGUGAAGCCUCCGGAUUGGCGCGCACCUCGGUGCCGCCGAGAAGUUGGCUAAACCUUACCAUUUAGAGGAAGGUGAAGUCGUAACA